This 857-nucleotide ribosomal RNA is filed under the name uncultured bacterium. RNAcentral's name for it is "SSU rRNA". It matches the Rfam family "Bacterial small subunit ribosomal RNA", at positions 524 to 1381 of the family's 1533-position model. The record is from RNAcentral.
UACGGAGGGUGCAAGCGUUACUCGGAAUCACUGGGCGUAAAGCGCGCGCAGGCGGCCUUUUAAGUUGGAUGUGAAAGCCUACGGCUUAACCGUAGAACUGCAUCCAAAACUACUAGGCUAGAGUGUGGGAGAGGAAGAUGGAAUUAGUUGUGUAGGGGUAAAAUCCGUAGAGAUAACUAGGAAUACCAAAAGCGAAGGCAAUCUUCUGGAACACUACUGACGCUGAGGCGCGAAAGCGUGGGGAGCAAACAGGAUUAGAUACCCUGGUAGUCCACGCCCUAAACGAUGAAUGUUAGUCGUCGGGUAGCUAGUCUAUUCGGUGAUGCAGCUAACGCAUUAAACAUUCCGCCUGGGGAGUACGGCCGCAAGAUUAAAACUCAAAGGAAUAGACGGGGACCCGCACAAGUGGUGGAGCAUGUGGUUUAAUUCGAAGAUACGCGAAGAACCUUACCUAGCCUUGACAUAUAUUAGAACACUUUAGAGAUAGAGUGGUGCCUUCGGGAGCUUUUAUACAGGUGCUGCACGGCUGUCGUCAGCUCGUGUCGUGAGAUGUUGGGUUAAGUCCCGCAACGAGCGCAACCCUCGUCACUAGUUACUAACGGUUCGGCCGAGGACUCUAGUGAGACUGCCUUCGCAAGGAGGAGGAAGGUGAGGACGACGUCAAGUCAUCAUGGCCCUUACGGCUAGGGCAACACACGUGCUACAAUGGCCAGGACAAUGAGACGCAAUACCGCGAGGUGGAGCAAAUCUAUAAACCUGGUCUCAGUUCGGAUUGUAGUCUGCAACUCGACUACAUGAAGCUGGAAUCACUAGUAAUCGUAGAUCAGCUAUGCUACGGUGAAUACGUUCCCGGGUCU